RNAcentral lists this transfer RNA (83 nucleotides) under Filimonas zeae. RNAcentral's name for it is "tRNA-Leu". It matches the Rfam family "tRNA". Rfam says of the family: Transfer RNA (tRNA) molecules are approximately 80 nucleotides in length. Lineage: Bacteria; Pseudomonadati; Bacteroidota; Chitinophagia; Chitinophagales; Chitinophagaceae. The record is from RNAcentral.
GCGGAUGUGGCGAAAUUGGUAGACGCAUUAGACUUAGGAUCUAACGCCGCGAGGCAUGGGGGUUCGAGUCCCUCCAUCCGCAC